This 331-nucleotide long non-coding RNA is filed under the name Cavia porcellus (domestic guinea pig). RNAcentral's name for it is "lncRNA (ENSCPOG00000035951.1)". Lineage: Eukaryota; Metazoa; Chordata; Mammalia; Rodentia; Caviidae. The record is from RNAcentral.
UUGCAUCCUGCAGAAAGCUAGAGCUCCUCAUGUGACCUUUGGUCCUGAAGGGAAGUUUUACAUGGUUAGAGGUUUGGGACAAAAGUUGGGACAGAAAACAAGCAUGGAAGACUCAUUGGCCUUGAACUGAGGCCAGAUUUUAGAGGGCAUAUGGUGGAGGAACCUGAACAAGAACUGAGUGUGCAAUGGAAGAGGCUGGGCCUUAGACGCGACUGUGUGCAGCCAGUGAGAGAAUCAACUUUCCCCAGGUUUGCUGGAUUUUCAUUGGUGUUCGCAGUAGCAUCUAAAGCAUGCUACUCCUUGUUGCUCGGGAAAGAAUGUAUAUCGGGAA